Molecule: transfer RNA, 78 nt
Filed under: Microlophus pacificus
Lineage: Eukaryota; Metazoa; Chordata; Lepidosauria; Squamata; Tropiduridae
Description: tRNA-Trp
Source: RNAcentral
ACUUAGGAUAGUUCAAACCAAGGGCCUUCAAAGCCCUAAACAGAGGCCAAACCUCUAGUUUCUGCACCACAAGACUUG